RNAcentral lists this ribosomal RNA (497 nucleotides) under uncultured bacterium. Its description in RNAcentral is "partial 16S ribosomal RNA". It matches the Rfam family "Bacterial small subunit ribosomal RNA", at positions 28 to 507 of the family's 1533-position model. The record is from RNAcentral.
GAUGAACGCUGGCGGCGUGCCUAAUACAUGCAAGUCGAGCGAACAGACGAGGAGCUUGUUCCUUUGACGUUAGCGGCGGACGGGUGAGAAACACGUGGAUAACCUACCUAUAAUACUGGGAUAACUUCGGGAAACCGGAGCUAAUACCGGAUAAUAUAUUGAACCGCAUGGUUCAAUAGUGAAAGACGGUUUUGCUGUCUCUUAUAGAUGGAUCCGCGCUGCAUUAGCUAGUUGGUAAGGUAACGGCUUACCAAGGCGACGAUGCGUAGCCGACCUGAGAGGGUGAUCGGCCACACUGGAACUGAGACACGGUCCAGACUCCUACGGGAGGCAGCAGUAGGGAAUCUUCCGCAAUGGGCGAAAGCCUGACGCAGCAACACCGCGUGAGUGAUGAAGGUCUUCGGAUCGUAAAGCUCUGUUAUUAGGUAAGAACAGAUGUGUAAGUAAAUAUGCACGUCUUGACGGUACCUAAUCAAAAAGCAACGGCUAACUACGUG